UGGGGAAUAUUGCACAAUGGGCGCAAGCCUGAUGCAGCGACGCCGCGUGAGGGAUGACGGCCUUCGGGUUGUAAACCUCUUUCACCUACGACGAAGCGGAAGUGACGGUAGUAGGAGAAGAAGGACCGGCCAACUACGUGCCAGCAGCCGCGGUAAUACGGAGGGUCCGAGCGUUGUCCGGAAUUACUGGGCGUAAAGAGCUCGUAGGUGGUUUGUCGCGUUGUUCGUGAAAACUCACAGCUUAACUGUGGGCGUGCGGGCGAUACGGGCAGACUGGAGUACUGCAGGGGAGACUGGAAUUCCUGGUGUAGCGGUGGAAUGCGCAGAUAUCAGGAGGAACACCGGUGGCGAAGGCGGGUCUCUGGGCAGUAACUGACGCUGAGGAGCGAAAGCGUGGGGAGCGAACAGG
RNAcentral lists this ribosomal RNA (409 nucleotides) under uncultured prokaryote. Its description in RNAcentral is "bacterial SSU rRNA". It matches the Rfam family "Bacterial small subunit ribosomal RNA", at positions 355 to 776 of the family's 1533-position model. The record is from RNAcentral. RNAcentral also lists the same sequence under 1 other name.